Molecule: long non-coding RNA, 831 nt
Organism: Folsomia candida
Lineage: Eukaryota; Metazoa; Arthropoda; Collembola; Entomobryomorpha; Isotomidae
Exons: 2
Source: RefSeq, a predicted model, not a curated record
AACAGAAGGCAUAUAUACAUAUGUAUUUCUGACCAGUUCUACUUUAUUAUUAGCUUAGCUUCUUCUUCCCAAGUGUACAAAUCUUGCAUACUUCAUUUAGCCCGAGUCAGUGAAUCCCCGGCUACAACAUUUGUAGAAAUUUACUUCAUAUUCGUAAAUCUGAGUGAGAUGCACUCUCGCCUUCAUGUCAAAUUUCAGCAAUUUCUAAUCAAUUUCAAAAACCAGUGUGGAUCACAAUGUACUCUCUGGUGAAACUAGAUCAAACACUGCGCUGCCCAUCUUCGAACUUAUCCCAAGCCUUGGAGAUGUUCGUAUUUAUUUUAAGACUAACUUAGUCAAAAUCAGUUCAGUGGUUCGUCCACUACUAGCUUGUCACAGAAGGACAGACCAGCAGACAGACAUGGCGAUCCCAUCAGGCCUGACUCGGACUAAAAAAAUGAAAGGAAAUAAGUAAGCGAUCAACAUCGAAAGGCUUGAGAACCCAUCAACAACAAGACCAAUUUGGAAUUUCCUUUCUCCACGCACGAAAACAUGCCGCAAAAUUAGAAUUGAGAAGAGAAAGCAGAAAAUUCGUCUACAGCCCCGAAAUUCUCAUGACUUUGACUUUAACUCAUCACCAUUUACAUUCACACAGUCAGUCUGUCUGCUUGUCAAACUAAACAGACCAAUGAGAAAAUUGAGAAAGUGUGUGUAUAUGUUAUUGUAAGGUACUUACGACUGACUUACUGACAGGUAGUCACUUAAAUAGGAUUAAUCAGAUGAGCCAGAAAUGAGCUGAAUCACGAUAGUUUUCUCCAUUCUCAAUAAACAUUUGAUCUCAUCCCGUUACAA